RNAcentral lists this ribosomal RNA (453 nucleotides) under Rhizobiaceae bacterium L427_CBm. Its description in RNAcentral is "bacterial SSU rRNA". It matches the Rfam family "Bacterial small subunit ribosomal RNA", at positions 908 to 1355 of the family's 1533-position model. The record is from RNAcentral. Lineage: Bacteria; Pseudomonadati; Pseudomonadota; Alphaproteobacteria; Hyphomicrobiales; Rhizobiaceae.
AAUUGAGGGGGGCCCGCACAAGNCGGUGGAGCAUGUGGUUUAAUUCGAAGCAACGCGCAGAACCUUACCAGCUCUUGACAUUCGGGGUUUGGGCAGUGGAGACAUUGUCCUUCAGUUAGGNUGGCCCCAGAACAGGUGCUGCAUGGCUGUCGUCAGCUCGUGUCGUGAGAUGUUGGGUUAAGUCCCGCAACGAGCGCAACCCUCGCCCUUAGUUGCCAGCAUUUAGUUGGGCACUNUAAGGGGACUGCCGGUGAUAAGCCGAGAGGAAGGUGGGGAUGACGUCAAGUCCUCAUGGCCCUUACGGGCUGGGCUACACACGUGCUACAAUGGUGGUGACAGUGGGCAGCGAGACAGCGAUGUCGAGCUAAUCUCCAAAACGCCAUCUCAGUUCGGAUUGCACUCUGCAACUCGAGUGCAUGAAGUUGGAAUCGCCUAGUAAUCGCAGAUCAGCAU